RNAcentral lists this ribosomal RNA (494 nucleotides) under uncultured bacterium. RNAcentral describes it as "partial 16S ribosomal RNA". It matches the Rfam family "Bacterial small subunit ribosomal RNA", at positions 28 to 507 of the family's 1533-position model. The record is from RNAcentral.
GACGAACGCUGGCGGCGUGCUUAACACAUGCAAGUCGAACGGUGAAGCGCCUUCCUUUUUGGUGGGUGUGGAUGAGUGGCGAACGGGUGAGUAACACGUGAGUAACCUGCCCCCUUCUUCUGGAUAACCGCAUGAAAGUGUUGCUAAUACGGGAUAUUCUGGGUCUGUCGCAUGAUGGGUCUGGGAAAGAUAUUGUUUCGGUGGGGGAUGGGCUCGCGGCCUAUCAGCUUGUUGGUGGGGUGAUGGCCUACCAAGGCGGUGACGGGUAGCCGGCCUGAGAGGGUGGACGGUCACACUGGGACUGAGACACGGCCCAGACUCCUACGGGAGGCAGCAGUGGGGAAUAUUGCACAAUGGGCGCAAGGCUGAUGCAGCGACGCCGCGUGAGGGAUGGAGGCCUUCGGGUUGUGAACCUCUUUCGCCAGUGAAGCAGGCCUGCCUCGUUUGUGGGUGGGUUGACGGUAGCUGGAUAAGAAGCGCCGGCUAACUACGUG